This 1754-nucleotide ribosomal RNA is filed under the name Klebsiella pneumoniae BWH 22. RNAcentral describes it as "bacterial LSU rRNA". It matches the Rfam family "Bacterial large subunit ribosomal RNA", at positions 1193 to 2925 of the family's 2925-position model. The record is from RNAcentral. Lineage: Bacteria; Pseudomonadati; Pseudomonadota; Gammaproteobacteria; Enterobacterales; Enterobacteriaceae.
ACCGAAGCUGCGGCAGCGACACUAUGUGUUGUUGGGUAGGGGAGCGUUCUGUAAGCCUGCGAAGGUGUGCUGUGAGGCAUGCUGGAGGUAUCAGAAGUGCGAAUGCUGACAUAAGUAACGAUAAAGCGGGUGAAAAGCCCGCUCGCCGGAAGACCAAGGGUUCCUGUCCAACGUUAAUCGGGGCAGGGUGAGUCGACCCCUAAGGCGAGGCCGAAAGGCGUAGUCGAUGGGAAACAGGUUAAUAUUCCUGUACUUGGUGUUACUGCGAAGGGGGGACGGAGAAGGCUAUGUUAGCCGGGCGACGGUUGUCCCGGUUUAAGCAUGUAGGCUGAUUGUCCAGGCAAAUCCGGAUAAUCAAGGCUGAGGUGUGAUGACGAGGCACUACGGUGCUGAAGUAACAAAUGCCCUGCUUCCAGGAAAAGCCUCUAAGCAUCAGGUAACAUUAAAUCGUACCCCAAACCGACACAGGUGGUCAGGUAGAGAAUACCAAGGCGCUUGAGAGAACUCGGGUGAAGGAACUAGGCAAAAUGGUGCCGUAACUUCGGGAGAAGGCACGCUGGUGUGUAGGUGAAGUCCCUGCGGAUGGAGCUGAGACCAGUCGAAGAUACCAGCUGGCUGCAACUGUUUAUUAAAAACACAGCACUGUGCAAACACGAAAGUGGACGUAUACGGUGUGACGCCUGCCCGGUGCCGGAAGGUUAAUUGAUGGGGUUAUCCGUAAGGAGAAGCUCUUGAUCGAAGCCCCGGUAAACGGCGGCCGUAACUAUAACGGUCCUAAGGUAGCGAAAUUCCUUGUCGGGUAAGUUCCGACCUGCACGAAUGGCGUAAUGAUGGCCAGGCUGUCUCCACCCGAGACUCAGUGAAAUUGAACUCGCUGUGAAGAUGCAGUGUACCCGCGGCAAGACGGAAAGACCCCGUGAACCUUUACUAUAGCUUGACACUGAACAUUGAGCCUUGAUGUGUAGGAUAGGUGGGAGGCUUUGAAGCGUGGACGCCAGUCUGCGUGGAGCCAACCUUGAAAUACCACCCUUUAAUGUUUGAUGUUCUAACGUUGGCCCCUGACCGGGGUUGCGGACAGUGUCUGGUGGGUAGUUUGACUGGGGCGGUCUCCUCCCAAAGCGUAACGGAGGAGCACGAAGGUUAGCUAAUCCUGGUCGGACAUCAGGAGGUUAGUGCAAUGGCAUAAGCUAGCUUGACUGCGAGCGUGACGGCGCGAGCAGGUGCGAAAGCAGGUCAUAGUGAUCCGGUGGUUCUGAAUGGAAGGGCCAUCGCUCAACGGAUAAAAGGUACUCCGGGGAUAACAGGCUGAUACCGCCCAAGAGUUCAUAUCGACGGCGGUGUUUGGCACCUCGAUGUCGGCUCAUCACAUCCUGGGGCUGAAGUAGGUCCCAAGGGUAUGGCUGUUCGCCAUUUAAAGUGGUACGCGAGCUGGGUUUAGAACGUCGUGAGACAGUUCGGUCCCUAUCUGCCGUGGGCGCUGGAGAAUUGAGGGGGGCUGCUCCUAGUACGAGAGGACCGGAGUGGACGCAUCACUGGUGUUCGGGUUGUCAUGCCAAUGGCACUGCCCGGUAGCUAAAUGCGGAAGAGAUAAGUGCUGAAAGCAUCUAAGCACGAAACUUGCCCCGAGAUGAGUUCUCCCUGAGACUUUAAGUCUCCUGAAGGAACGUUGAAGACGACGACGUUGAUAGGCCGGGUGUGUAAGCGCAGCGAUGCGUUGAGCUAACCGGUACUAAUGAACCGUGAGGCUUAACCUU